AAGGAUAUAGUUCAAUGGUACAGUACCUGCCUGGCAAGCACUAAGUCCUGGGUUUGAUUCCCAGUACCCACA
Molecule: transfer RNA, 72 nt
Filed under: Cavia porcellus (domestic guinea pig)
Lineage: Eukaryota; Metazoa; Chordata; Mammalia; Rodentia; Caviidae
Rfam family: tRNA
About the family: Transfer RNA (tRNA) molecules are approximately 80 nucleotides in length.
Source: Rfam by way of RNAcentral